This is a long non-coding RNA of Magallana angulata, 1033 nucleotides long. RefSeq lists it as uncharacterized. The record is from RefSeq and is a predicted model, not a curated record. NCBI's taxonomy places the organism in Eukaryota, Metazoa, Mollusca, Bivalvia, Ostreida, Ostreidae. The transcript is spliced from 3 exons.
UGACCACUUCAAUAGCAUUUAGGUGAGAGUAUCAAAAGUCAAAAUGUUUUGCUUUAUUGUUUAUGUAUUAAGAGGUCUGUAUGAUUGUGUCUAAUUUUUGGACAAUAUUAAUAUCCUUUAGACAAAGAGCUCUAAUGUAGCGUGACUUUUACUCAAUGUUAUUAAUAUAGAAAAAAUAUCAAUACUCCGUAACAUAUUAUUUAGGUUUGCACAGGAUGACAGAUAAACGUUAAUAUCUUUUUAUGACGUAAUUAGUUCUAGCAAGAAUUAGAGUCUCGUUUAUUCAAUGAAAUUUUUGGCAUUUAUUUUUUUAAAAAAAUUAAAAUGUUCAAGUGCUUACAAUAAUACAUGAUUAAAAUUCAGCAAUAUGUUAAUUUUCAAAUUACAGAACACAAAGCUUUUCGUAACAUGAAUCGGAAAUCCAUUUCAUUGCGUAACAGACUCCUUUUAAUUGCAGUAUUCUAAUAAAUCGUUGAAAGGAAUUCCGAGUAUCUCGAUGGUUUUGAAGCCAAUUGGACAAACACAAGUAUUUCCAGGAAACAAACAUCCUUUUGACUUGAGUUCUAGAGGCACACACAAACUGGGACUCUUUCCGUACUUAAUCAUCAUUUCUUCUUUCCCACGCCGCCCUCUACAAGAAUAUCUCUGAUUACGUGGCCACUUGUCCAUAUUCAGAACAAUACUGUAAGAUUUUGACACUGUAUGGCAGAGCAACCAGGGAGAUGAUUUAAUGCAGAAGAUCAAUGGUGAUAAUUAAUCCCAAAGUCACAAUGGUGAAUUAAUUUUCUUGAUAAGACGGAAAAGGCAGUUCUUGGGGAUUCCUUCAAAGUCACAAGCACAUCAUGUGAAUGUUCUUUGGGAAACUACUAGUAUGCCUGCCAUCAUGUUGCGUCAGCACUGCUAUAUGGGUACAAAUGUGUCAGCCAGACAGAUAUAAAGUUUGGGUGGCUGAAGAACCCAAAAACCUUAACUAAAGACACUUUAAGACAGAGAUCAAAACAAUAGAAGAAUUGUUUUCCUCUGCACGUCCAGA